GGUCUCGGAGGACAUUACGAGUUCUGAAGGGGUUGUAGCUGGCUUUUCCAGCAUGUGCUCGCCCUGUUCAAUCCACUCUACACCUGUGCACCAACUGUAGGCUUUUGGUGGGCUUGCUUUCCUUGUCCUUUACCGGGCGUUGAGGGCUUGUUAACCUUGGCUUGCGUUUUCAUACAAACCCUGUAAAAAGUAAAAAGAAUGUGUAUUGCGAUAUAACGCAUUUAUAAUACAACUUUCAGCAACGGAUCUCUUGGCUCUCGCAUCGAUGAAGAACGCAGCGAAAUGCGAUAAGUAAUGUGAAUUGCAGAAUUCAGUGAAUCAUCGAAUCUUUGAACGCACCUUGCGCUCCUUGGUAUUCCGAGGAGCACGCCUGUUUGAGUGUCGUGAAAUUCUCAACCUACAAGGCUUUUGUUUUGUAGGCUUGGACUUGGAGGCGUUGCCGAUGUUUUUAUUUACGUUGGCUCCUCUCAAAUGCAUUAGCUAGCGUCCUUUGCGGAUCAGCUUUUCGGUGUGAUAAUUGUCUACGCCGUAGUUGUGAAGCGUUUUUGACCAGCUUCUAAUGGUCUCGUGAAAGAGACAAAAGAAAUUUCAUUUCAAUGACAAUCUGACCUCAGAUCAGGCGGGACUACCCGCUGAACUUAAGCAUAUCAAAAAACGGGAAGAAAAC
Molecule: ribosomal RNA, 667 nt
Filed under: Picipes badius
Lineage: Eukaryota; Fungi; Basidiomycota; Agaricomycetes; Polyporales; Polyporaceae
Description: eukaryotic LSU rRNA
Rfam family: 5.8S ribosomal RNA (bases 231-384)
Source: RNAcentral